GCGGAUGGGCAUGCGUCGCAUUAGUUAGUUGGCGGUGUAACGGACCACCAAGACGACGAUGCGUAGGGGUUCUGAGAGGAAGGUCCCCCACACUGGUACUGAGACACGGACCAGACUCCUACGGGAGGCAGCAGUGAGGAAUAUUGGUCAAUGGGCGGGAGCCUGAACCAGCCAAGUCGCGUGAGGGAUGACGGCCCUAUGGGUUGUAAACCUCUUUUGCCGGGGAGCAAAGUGCCGCACGUGUGCGGUUUGGAGAGUACCCGGAGAAAAAGCAUCGGCUAACUCCGUGCCAGCAGCCGCGGUAAUACGGAGGAUGCGAGCGUUAUCCGGAUUUAUUGGGUUUAAAGGGUGCGUAGGCGGACGCUUAAGUCAGCGGUAAAAUUGCGGGGCUCAACCUCGUCGAGCCGUUGAAACUGGGUGCCUUGAGUGGGCGAGAAGUACGCGGAAUGCGUGGUGUAGCGGUGAAAUGCAUAGAUAUCACGCAGAACUCCGAUUGCGAAGGCAGCGUACCGGCGCCCAACUGACGCUGAAGCACGAAGGCGUGGGUAUCGAACAGGAUUAGAUACCCUGGUAGUCCACGCAGUAAACGAUGAAUGCUAGUUGUCCGGGGCGAUUGAGUUCUGG
This 624-nucleotide ribosomal RNA is filed under the name uncultured bacterium. RNAcentral describes it as "bacterial SSU rRNA". It matches the Rfam family "Bacterial small subunit ribosomal RNA", at positions 221 to 842 of the family's 1533-position model. The record is from RNAcentral.